UAGAGAGUAACAUAGAGAAGAAAUGGAAUCAAAAAGAGGUGAGGAAGAACAAUUCAAUUUUCCAACGAUGAUAGCAAUAAAGGGUCCUUCAAGCGUUAAGAAGACUGAAAUAGCCACCAAAUUAGCUGAUUUUCUUCACUAUCCUCUCAUCGAUGAAGCAGAUGUAAUCGUAGCACUUCAAAACUCCAUCACAACGUCCCCUACAAAUGACUCCAGUAUCUCCGCCGAAUAUUAUGAUGAAUUGCCUUUCAAAAUUGCUUGCCAAAUCACCUCAACCCAGCUCGAUCUGGGGCUGAAAGUUAUCUUCAACACUGUGCUCUCAGAACGUUCACAUUUUGAACAUUUGGUGCAAGUGGCAAAUUCCCAUGAAGCCUGUCUGCUCGUCAUUGAUUGUGAAGAUGAAAACCAUGGAUUCAAUGAUUGCUAUAGCGUUGGAAAUGUUCGAAAGCUCAAAAUCGACACUACCAAGGCAUUUGUGGUGGAGGAAUUUGUUCCUGCAAUGCUUCAAGCUGUAGAACUCCCUCAAGAAAUUAAUUUGGCACGCGAUGAAGGAGCGUUCGUUAGAGGUGUUUGAGAGCUGGCCCAGGACUUGAAGGGGUGGAAAUACAGCAAAGUUUAGGAAGUUGGUCAUGGCACACUAGGAGAAGCCAAGUAUAAUUAUUAUUAUGAAUAAAGAUCAUAAUCUCCAGUAGUGC
This 695-nucleotide unclassified non-coding RNA is filed under the name Hevea brasiliensis (rubber tree). The record is from RNAcentral. Lineage: Eukaryota; Viridiplantae; Streptophyta; Magnoliopsida; Malpighiales; Euphorbiaceae.